This 1006-nucleotide long non-coding RNA is filed under the name Hordeum vulgare. Its description in RNAcentral is "long non-coding RNA (HVUL_LNC003687)". Lineage: Eukaryota; Viridiplantae; Streptophyta; Magnoliopsida; Poales; Poaceae. The record is from RNAcentral.
UGCAAGUAGUGGAAGCUGAAAUAUAUUUGGAACCUUCCAAAAGAGAAUAGGAUAAUGGUUCGCAGCAAUGACCUUCCAAAUAUUUUUUUUGCACACAAGGUAUAUUUCCAUCAACACAUACAACAAAAGGUUUAUAUUUUUUUCACUUGCCUUUUGCGUUGAGAGUGUUGUGCAGACCGAGAAAACAACAAAAGGUGCUAAUGCAGCUAUCAGACUGCUCAAGGUGGUUUUCUUAGUUGGUUGGGUGCUAGUGAACUAUAUGUAAGAGUGCUCAAAUUCAUUUCAUAUGUUCCUCUUUUUUGUCUUUUUUUUCAUGGGUGACGAGGNAUUCCUGCCAACGGCAACUUUGGUUUUGUCUAUUAGGCUAGAAAUAAAGUAUUUUUGAUGUGCGUGAAAAACCAUAACAAUGACUUAACUCUUGCUACAAUUGUAAGUUGGGAUCCUAAAUUUAAACUUCAUGGUGGUGACAUUAUAAAUUAAUUCAGGACAGUGCAUGUUGCUAUGGCACUUGCGAAAACUGAAAAUUUUGUAUGGUGUCUCAAAAACUGCAUUACUCUUGAUAAUGCAAAAAAACAAACAAUGAUUGCAUGGCCUUCAACAAUUGUACAUGACUAAUACCUUGCCUUUAUUACAACUUGCAUCAUCUAAAUACAUUGUGUGUUAACUGUUCAUUUUGUUUUCUUUUUUGUAGGUUCAAAAGAUAAAUGGAUGAGUAUAUAUGGGUGGGUGGCAAGUAUACUUCAAUGAGGAUGUUGAUUUUCUGGAUCAUGGUGAUGAUGAUGGAUGAUUUCAGUUUUAUUUAAGUAGUAGGGAUGUCGUUCCCGUUGGAUGUUGUUUGUCGGUCUAGUUUUGGUUAAGUUGUAGGGAUGUUGAUGGAUGCUUUCAGUUUAAGUUUCACUCGCAAGAAAAUAGUUAGAUUAUGCAUCACAUUUGGAUGAUGUUCCUCAUGUAAUUUCCAAUAUUGUAAUCUAACAUUUUUAUGUAAUAUAUGAUUUCUUUCUCUCGU